CCCUUAGAUGUCAUGGGCUGCACGCGCGCUACACUGAUGUGUCCAGUAAGCACCUAACCUCUUCCGAAAGGAACGGGUAACCUUUGCAAAGCACAUCGUGAUGGGGAUAGAUUAUUGCAAUUAUUAGUCUUGAACGAGGAAUUCCUAGUAAGCACAAGUCAUCAGCUUGUGUUGAUUACGUCCCUGCCCUUUGUACACACCGCCCGUCGCUCCUACCGAUUGAAUGUUCCGGUGAGCUCUUCGGACUGCGCGGUCUGCAGUUUCUGCGUUCCGUGCGGAAAGUUGCGCAAACCUUAACAUUUAGAGGAAGGAGAAGUCGUAACA
RNAcentral lists this ribosomal RNA (324 nucleotides) under uncultured eukaryote. RNAcentral's name for it is "partial 18S ribosomal RNA". It matches the Rfam family "Eukaryotic small subunit ribosomal RNA", at positions 1470 to 1796 of the family's 1831-position model. The record is from RNAcentral.